RNAcentral lists this long non-coding RNA (532 nucleotides) under Capra hircus (goat). RNAcentral's name for it is "lncRNA (ENSCHIG00010009181.1)". The record is from RNAcentral. Lineage: Eukaryota; Metazoa; Chordata; Mammalia; Artiodactyla; Bovidae.
CUUUUUCAUCUCAAACACAAAUUCUUACCUAGGUUGAAGUUAAAGGUCCACAGCACACUAAUUGUAAAAGCAAAAGUGCCAAUUCAACAGAAUUCCAAAACCACAGGAAAUGCCUCUGAACUUGAGAACUCUAGUCACUGGAUUUUUGGAAUCCCUGUUAUGUCAGAGGGGUACACCAUGGAGAUUCCUGAUAUUCUGAAAGGGUUUCACUGUAAUGAUGCCUUCCUUGGUUACCAAGUUGGAACAGAAGAACUGAGUUGCUGGUCAAUCAUCAGGAUUUUAUUGAAAGCCUAUUAUGUGUAAGCCAAAACUUCCUUUCCAUGUAUUCUCUUCAGAUUAUAGCAUGUCCCACUUUCUUCAAAUGAAUGGGAUAAUACACAUCCAUAGCAUAUAGCUAAAGCAUAAGGCCUGUGCUGUUAGAUUAGUUUUGGGUGGGAGAUUCACUAUAAUCUAAAUAAAAUAUAAACAAAAAUUUAUCAGGCCUCUGACAUCUAACAAACGCUAAGUCAAAUCUAACUUCUUUGAGUUCAGG